This 449-nucleotide ribosomal RNA is filed under the name uncultured bacterium. RNAcentral describes it as "partial 16S ribosomal RNA". It matches the Rfam family "Bacterial small subunit ribosomal RNA", at positions 29 to 523 of the family's 1533-position model. The record is from RNAcentral.
AACGAACGCUGGCGGCAUGCCAAACACAUGCAAGUCGAACGAGACCUUCGGGUCUAGUGGCGCACGGGUGCGUAACGCGUGGGAAUCUACCCUUGGGUUCGGAAUAACAGUUAGAAAUGACUGCUAAUACCGGAUGAUGACGUAAGUCCAAAGAUUUAUCGCCCAAGGAUGAGCCCGCGUAAGAUUAGCUUGUUGGUGGGGUAAUGGCCUACAAAGGCGACGAUCUUUAGCUGGUCUGAGAGGAUGAUCAGCCACACUGGGACUGAGACACGGGCCAGACUCCUACGGGAGGCAGCAGUGGGGAAUAUUGGACAAUGGGCGAAAGCCUGAUCCAGCAAUGCCGCGUGAGUGAUGAAGGCCUUAGGGUUGUAAAGCUCUUUUACCAGGGAUGAUAAUGACAGUACCUGGAGAAUAAGCUCCGGCUAACUCCGUGCCAGCCGCCGCCGUAA